Molecule: ribosomal RNA, 257 nt
Filed under: uncultured bacterium
Lineage: Bacteria
Description: partial 16S ribosomal RNA
Rfam family: Bacterial small subunit ribosomal RNA
Source: RNAcentral
UACGUAGGGGCCUAGCGUUGUCCGGAUUUAUUGGGCGUAAAGAGCUCGUAGGCGGUUCGGUAAGUCAGGUGUGAAAUCUCCACGCUCAACGUGGAGGCGCCACCUGAAACUGCCGUGACUCGAGUCCGGUAGGGGAGUGUGGAAUUCCCGGUGUAGCGGUGAAAUGACGCGAGAUAUCGGGAGGAACACCGAUGGCGAAGGCAAUCCCCUGGACCUGUACUGACGCUCAUGCAACGAAAGCGUGGGGAGCAAACAGG